Non-coding RNA from Camellia sinensis, 1787 nucleotides. The record is from RefSeq and is a predicted model, not a curated record. Lineage: Eukaryota; Viridiplantae; Streptophyta; Magnoliopsida; Ericales; Theaceae.
AAAAAAAACCACGUCCCAAACCAGCCCACCUUUGGAAUCUCUCAACCUCUGACUCUUCUGGUUCCUCCAUUUCUCUUCCUCCAUUGCUUUCAUCAACCCUUUUUGAGGGUUUCUUUUAUCUCCAUUUCAAUCUCACUCAAUUUCCUUCUCUCAGUAACACCAUAUUCUAGGGUUUCACAAUUCAAAUUGAUGAUAUUUUGUGGACGAGCUUUGUUGGGAGGAACUCAAUCAUAGCCGAUUGGACUUGAAACUUCGCGGAACUCACUUCGUUAAAGGGUCUCUAUGGGUUUCGGGUAAACGAGAUUUGCAACACCCAACUUGAAAUAGCUAAGACCUAUCAAGAAAUUGAGGGUCUACAUCGAGAAAACACAGCAAAUUGUUAUACAGGUCAAAAUUUUGAACCUAUCACUCUUCUGUUGGAUUCUGGUUUCUUUGUUUCGUCACGAUGGACGAUGGGGAGAUUGAUUUUUCAAACCAAGACGUGUUUUCAAGUCCAAACAUGGGUGAACUCCCAAGCAGUUGCUCUAUGGAUAGCUUUUUCGAUGAACUUCUGAAGGAUACAUGCACUCAUACCCACACUUGCAACCCACCAGGCCCUGAUUUCUCUCAUACACACACUUGUUUUCAUGUGCACACCAAAAUUGUGCCUGCCCCAACUGAAGAUAAGGUUUCCACCGAUGAUACUGCAGAGUCCUCGGAAAAGAAAUCAAAGAAAUGUCCAACAGGUAAUCGUGAAGCAGUUCGCAAGUACCGCGAGAAGAAGAAGGCUCGCACUGCAUCGUUGGAGGAUGAAGUUGUGAGAUUGAGGGCUGUGAAUCAACAAUUGGUGAAGAGAUUGCAAGGUCAGGCUGCAUUGGAGACCGAGAUUGCAAGGCUCAAGUGUUUGCUUGUGGACAUCCGAGGGAGGAUUGAAGGGGAGAUUGGAUCUUUUCCUUAUCAGAAGCCUUCCAAGAAUGGUGAUAUGUAUCAAAACCCGGUUAAUCCAAACUUGCCUGGUGCAUACGUGAUGAGUCCAUGUAAUGUACAGUGUGAUGAUCAGGUUUACUGCCUUCAACCAGGGGCGGAAAGCAAAAGUGGGGAAGAUGCAUCGAUAAAUGGUCAAGGCUUCAGUGGUUGUGAAUUUGAAAAUCUGCAGUGUUUGGGGAACGAGAAUGCUGGACUGAAGGAGUUACCUGGCUGUGGACUAGGGAAUGGAGCUUCAACAGUCAAUUCUUCUGGUGCAAACAAGAGAAAAGCUUGUUCGAGGUGAGAGCCUCAAGCCCAGUGGAACUUGGCAGUCAAUUUAUUUGGACUGUAAGGUUGGGCUUUGGUCUGUUUAUGAGAAAAGAACAAACAAAGACAGAGGGACUCGUGCAGCAAGGUGAAGAGCUAAUCAGAUGGAGAUUUCUUUAUUCUAGAGGAUACACAAUCUCUCUCUAUAAGUGGUUUUGCUGGAGUUCAGUGAUAUCUUCCCCUCAGGUCAUCGUGUGUUUGAGUGUUUUUACUUCUCUACCCUGCUGUCGGGUUCUAUAGCUAGCUGCAUUUCUUAUUUAUUAUGUGAGGCUCAACGUUAGCUACUUUUUACUGCUUUUUGUGUUGAUCGUUGUUCAGUUUAUGAACUCAAUCUCGGUUCUAUAUAAAUAAUGUGUUGUGAAGUAGAAUGCUUAAUGGGACAGAGUAGGUUGUAGGACUUAGCAGCCAGUGUUGUGAUUGAUGGAGGCAACUAAUGUGGGAUUAUUGAUGGCCAAUGGUUAAUAAUAAUAAGAAUGACAGUCCAUAAGACUGUCAAUAAGAAAUUGGAAAAACAA